CACUGAAACACAGGUUCCCAUAUGAUCACCAAAGUUAAGAAACAUUGAACCUGGUUAGUACCUAGAUGGGUGACCACUUGGGAAUACCAGGUGCU
This is a non-coding RNA of Acanthosepion pharaonis, 95 nucleotides long. Lineage: Eukaryota; Metazoa; Mollusca; Cephalopoda; Sepiida; Sepiidae. The record is from the annotation of a GenBank genome assembly.